GCAGACACAGAUUCGGUCAAAAACAAGGGCGGAAGGACCGCUGAUCAGACCGUUUGGGCUCAUUUUGAGAAGAAAAAAUAUAAUGCAAAAUGUAAGAACUGGACUAUCAUCUGCAAGUACUGCCGGACCGAGUCCAAGCAAGGGCGCCUUCAGGAGAUGCGCGUCCAUAUCGCGCAAAAGUGCCCCCGGAGUGCCUUCGGACACACAUGAGCAGGUCCCAUGAGGCGCAAAGGCACAUAGGGCCCACGAACAACGUUUGCAUACCAUGGACGUCAUAAAAUACAGCAUUUUCAGGGUUUCGGCAGGUUCCGGCAGGUUCCGGCAGGUUUCGCAGAAGGGUCCAAAAAACGGAAACUAUUUCGGCAUUGGCAGUAAGGUUUCGGCCCGUACACUGCGCACGGGCCGCCUUGCGGUUUCAACCAGCAAAAAAUAUAAAGAACGUUUUGAUGUAGUCUUUGCGAUUCCGAAUUGAGCCAGCUCACCCUUUGUGUGUCAUCUGAGUUGGUUGCACUUGCAUGUUG
RNAcentral lists this long non-coding RNA (521 nucleotides) under Volvox carteri. Its description in RNAcentral is "long non-coding RNA (VCAR_LNC004264)". The record is from RNAcentral. Lineage: Eukaryota; Viridiplantae; Chlorophyta; Chlorophyceae; Chlamydomonadales; Volvocaceae.